RNAcentral lists this ribosomal RNA (211 nucleotides) under uncultured bacterium. RNAcentral's name for it is "partial 16S ribosomal RNA". It matches the Rfam family "Bacterial small subunit ribosomal RNA", at positions 1290 to 1500 of the family's 1533-position model. The record is from RNAcentral.
AGUUCAGAUUGCAGGCUGNAACCCGCCCUGCAUGAAGUCGGAAUUGCUAGUAAUCGCGGAUCAGCAUGCCGCGGUGAAUACGUUCCCGGGCCUUGUACACACCGCCCGUCACACCAUGGGAGCCGGCAAUACCCGAAGUCAGUAGUCCAACCUCGUGAGGACGCUGCCGAAGGUAGGAUUGGCGACUGGGGUGAAGUCGUAACAAGGUAGC